Molecule: non-coding RNA, 2427 nt
Organism: Momordica charantia (bitter melon)
Lineage: Eukaryota; Viridiplantae; Streptophyta; Magnoliopsida; Cucurbitales; Cucurbitaceae
Source: RefSeq, a predicted model, not a curated record
CUCGCUUCUCGCUCUGUUAUCUGUUUCAUUCUCGUUCUUCUUGGCCAUGGCGUUCUCCACUUAAACGCAUUCGCCAGUCUCAGCAGAAGCAGAAUCCCCAUGGCCUUGGCUCCCAACUUUCAGGUGGAGAUGGAGAGAAGAGAUUUUGAGAGCAAAAUCAGAGGUGGAUUAGUCAGAGCAGCUAUUAACCAAUAUGGAGAUGGAAAAGUAGAUGGUAUUUCAUGGAAGAAAUCACUUCCCAAAGACUCCUCAGAGUCAGAGUAUUCCUCCAAGGCAAGAGAGCUCCAAAAGGCAAAGACAGACAUUGAGCAUAUUAAAGAGAGUAUAAAUGCAGCAGAUUCCUUGAAAGCCCAAGCUCAACUUGAGCUCCUCAACGCCAAAAGCACAGUGAAAAAGCUCUCUUCCCUUUUUGAGAAAUCAAAUGCCACAGUGCAGGCGCAUAAGCGGGAACUUGAAACAUUGAAGAAGUCGGGACGGGUCCAAGAACCGCGGGUGGCUGUUGCAAGCAGUGAGAAUCAUGAGUAUGCAGAGCUGAUGCAGGAAUUGAAAUUUGCAAAACAAGAAUUAAGCAAACUCAAGCUUGAUGUGGCUUCUGUUUUUGAUGAGAAAUUGCAGGCAGAGAAGGAGAAAGAAGAAGCCAUUUCGAAAUUUCAAUCCUUGUCAAGUUCCAUUGAAGAGCUAAGGAAGGAGAUUGAUGAAAUAAAUGAAGAACAAGUACUAGUUGAGUUAGCCCAGAUAGAGGCUUUGAAAGAGUUUCAAGAGAUUGAAGCCCAGAGAAGCAUGGAAGCCAAUGAAUUCUUACGUGCAAUUGAGAACAAGAGGAAACAUAUUAAUGAUCUUGCUCAAGAGGUUGAAGGCUUAAAAGAGCUAGAAAACAAAUUGAGUGUCACAAUGUCAGAUGUAAAUGUGUUGCAGAGGGAACUAAACUUGGUCAAGGAAUUAGGCAUGAAAGCUCAGAGAAAAGUUAUGAUGACAGAAUUGGAAAAUAAACCUCAGGUAGAAGAAGAUGAGCUUUUGUUGCAAUCAAUCACAGAAGAACUCAAGACUGCAAAGAAAGAUUUGGCCUCAAUACGAGAUGAAGGAUUUCAGGUCAUGACUUCGAUGGAUGCCGUACGGAGGGAACUGAAGAAUGUCAAGGAAGAAAUUGCUAAUCUGAAGAAACCCGAUGAAAGAACCGAUUCAAUUGUUCAAAAGCUGAACUCUAAGCUGCUUAGAGCGAAAGCCAAAUUGGAGGCUGUAUCUUCAGCUGAAGAGAAAGCUGAAUCAAUUGCUUCUAAUCUGUCACUCGCUAUAGAUCAAAUGAAGAAAGAAACGGAGGCUGCAAAGAAAGAAAAGGAGCUUACUGAUGAAGAAAUAAAAUAUACCAAAGCAGAGAUCCAAAAGACCGAAUCGGAAAUCGACUUGAAUGAGGAAAGAUUACAAGAUGCCUUGCGAGAGCUUGAAGCAGUGAAGUCUUCUGAGGCCUCGGCGCUCGCAAAAUUGAAGGCACUUACUGAAAGUACAAUGAGAUCUAGAGCUACUGCAACCAAGAAUAGCUCCUUUAUCACUAUCUCUAGUUUCGAACACGAGUAUUUAGCUGGUCAUGCGGUUGCCGCUCAAGAAAUUGCUGACAAAAAGGUUGCAGCUGCUCAAGCUUGGAUUGAAGCCAUUAAAGCAAGUGAAGUUGAAACAAUAAAGAAAUAUGAAUUAGCCGAACUGGAAAUCAACGCGAUGAGAAUGGAAGAAGAGAAACUGGCAUUCAGGGCAAACAGAUCACUCUCUGCAAAAAGAAUGGUGGAGAGAGAGUUGCAGAACUGGAGACAAAAGCGCGAGAAGAACGAAGAAGAAGCUGAAAACUUGCAACCAGCAAAUCGUCAAAAAUCCGUUAGGAGAAAUGGGAGCAUGACACCAUCAAGGCGACUCAAGUUCCGGAUAUCGUCCUCACCAUCACCUCACAUGAUGAAUGGAGCUACCUCAUUUUCAAUGAAGAAGAGAAGGAAGGUUGUGAAAAAUCUUGCCCAGUUCUUCAAUGGCAAGAAAGCCGAAUUGAAUCUUUGAAUUGACUGAAAGCAUCUUUCUGCUGAAUGAGAUUGUUUGUAUCAGAAGCUCCAGGGUCCCAUCAACUUUUGAUUCUGCUUAUUGGAGAAAACUAAAUUCCAGAAUCCAGAUCAAAACAAAUUCUGCCUUGAGAUCUCUGACUCGCUGGCGCUUCCUCCAGCCAAAUGCCCUAGACGACCUCCUCCACCGAUUGCAGCCUCUCCAAUCCCGCCGUACUCAUCUUCAUUCAAAACUUUACACGUUUCCACGAAUGGUGGAAACAAAACAAACUUUGUCUGUUUCUUACAACUUCUUCCACUACAAACAAAUUUUAACCUAAAAAUUCCAGCAAAUUUCGAUCUACAAUCAGCCCAGCAAGAAUCGCCUCCAAUUACGCUGAAAUCACUCCAA